This 103-nucleotide non-coding RNA is filed under the name Neobacillus vireti. Its description in RNAcentral is "Bacillus vireti SAM-I sequence". It matches the Rfam family "SAM riboswitch aptamer (S box leader)". From Rfam's summary of the family: The SAM riboswitch is found upstream of a number of genes which code for proteins involved in methionine or cysteine biosynthesis in Gram-positive bacteria. The SAM riboswitch acts at the level of transcription termination control. Lineage: Bacteria; Bacillati; Bacillota; Bacilli; Caryophanales; Bacillaceae. The record is from RNAcentral. RNAcentral also lists the same sequence under 1 other name.
UUCUUAUCAAGAGUGGCGGAGGGACUGGCCCUACGAUGCCCGGCAACCGGUUAAUAACACGGUGCUAAAUCCAGCAGAGCAAUUUAGCUCUGGAAGAUAAGAA